AGAAUCAACGCUGGCGGCGUGCCUAACACAUGCAAGUCGAACGAGAAAGUGGGAGCAAUCCCACGAGUAAAGUGGCGCACGGGUGAGUAACACGUGGCUAACCUACCCUUGAGUGGGGGAUAACCUAGGGAAACCUGGGCUAAUACCGCAUAAUACCUACGGGUCAAAGGAGCAAUUCGCUUUAGGAGGGGGUCGCGGCAGAUUAGUUAGUUGGCGGGGUAAUGGCCCACCAAGACAGUGAUCUGUA
This 247-nucleotide ribosomal RNA is filed under the name uncultured bacterium. RNAcentral describes it as "partial small subunit ribosomal RNA". It matches the Rfam family "Bacterial small subunit ribosomal RNA", at positions 26 to 285 of the family's 1533-position model. The record is from RNAcentral.